This 326-nucleotide ribosomal RNA is filed under the name uncultured eukaryote. RNAcentral's name for it is "partial 18S ribosomal RNA". It matches the Rfam family "Eukaryotic small subunit ribosomal RNA", at positions 1470 to 1796 of the family's 1831-position model. The record is from RNAcentral.
CCCUUAGACGUUCUGGGCCGCACGCGCGCUACACUGACGAAGGCAACGAGCUUUCCUUUACCGAAAGGUACGGGUAAUCUUUUGAAACUUCGUCGUGCUGGGGAUAGAUCCUUGCAAUUUUUGAUCUUAAACGAGGAAUGCCUAGUAAGCGCAAGUCAUCAAAUCGCGUUGAUUACGUCCCUGCCCUUUGUACACACCGCCCGUCGCUCCUACCGAUUGAAUGUGUUGGUGAGGAGCUCGGAUUGGCAGCAGUUGGUGGUUCGCCACCGGCUAUUGCUGAGAAGUCCUCCAAACCGCCCCAUUUAGAGGAAGGAGAAGUCGUAACA